Molecule: ribosomal RNA, 460 nt
Filed under: uncultured bacterium
Lineage: Bacteria
Description: partial 16S ribosomal RNA
Rfam family: Bacterial small subunit ribosomal RNA
Source: RNAcentral
CCUACGGGUGGCAGCAGUGAGGAAUAUUGGUCAAUGGGCGAGAGUCUGAACCAGCCAAGUCGCGUGAAGGAUGAAGGAUCUAUGGUUUGUAAACUUCUUUUAUAUGGGAAUAAAGUGAUGCACGUGUUGCUUUUUGUAUGUACCAUAUGAAUAAGCAUCGGCUAACUCCGUGCCAGCAGCCGCGGUAAUACGGAGGAUGCGAGCGUUAUCCGGAUUUAUUGGGUUUAAAGGGUGCGUAGGUGGGUUGUUAAGUCAGCGGUGAAAGUUUGUGGCUCAACCAUAAAAUUGCAGUUGAUACUGGUAGACUUGAGUACAGUUGAGGUAGGCGGAAUGCGUGGUGUAGCGGUGAAAUGCAUAGAUAUGACGCAGAACACCAGUUGCGAAGGCAGCUUACUAAACUAUAACUGACGCUGAAGCACGAAAGCGUGGGGAGCAAACAGGAUUAGAUACCCCUGUAGUC